Molecule: ribosomal RNA, 393 nt
Filed under: uncultured bacterium
Lineage: Bacteria
Description: partial 16S ribosomal RNA
Rfam family: Bacterial small subunit ribosomal RNA
Source: RNAcentral
AUACGGAGGAUCCGAGCGUUAUCCGGACUUAUUGGGUUUAAAGGGUGCGUAGGCUGAUAAAUCAGUCAGCGGUGAAAUUUACGGGCUUAACUUGUAGCUUGCCGUUGAAACUAUUUAUCUAGAGAUAUUUCGGCGUAUGCGGAAUGUAUCAAGUAGCGGUGAAAUGCAUAGAUAUGCUACAGAACACCAAUCGCGAAGGCAGCAUACGAGGCAUCAUCUGACGCUGAUGCACGAAAGCGUGGGGAUCAAACAGGAUUAGAUACCCUGGUAGUCCACGCAGUAAACGAUGAUUACUAGCUGUUUGCGAUACAAUGUAAGCGGCUGAGCGAAAGCGUUAAGUAAUCCACCUGGGGAGUACGUUCGCAAGAAUGAAACUCAAAUGAAUUGACGGGG